CGCCAACAACAGUAUAUAUUUGCUUUUUCGUGUCCCACUCACACCAACAGCUCAAACAAAUCUUGUUUUACUGACCUUCAUCUGAUUCAAUCGAAGGAUCCGCAUAUUUCACAAUGAAGAUUGUCGUUCUCUUAAGUCUUCUGGUUGCUGUGAGUGGCUAUGACUCUAAGGAAUUUCGGAAAUACUUCGACGCAAUCGACAAAAAUCAUGAUGGCAAAAUCACUCUGCUUGAAUGGAUUAUUCACUACAGGAAAUACGACCUAGACGGUACUUGCUUAAUUUCUCUUUUUUUAUAUAUAUAACCAAUGAAACAGACGUUGUUGUCAUCAUCA
Pomacea canaliculata is the source of this 332-nucleotide long non-coding RNA. RefSeq lists it as uncharacterized. Lineage: Eukaryota; Metazoa; Mollusca; Gastropoda; Architaenioglossa; Ampullariidae. The transcript is spliced from 3 exons. The record is from RefSeq and is a predicted model, not a curated record.